This 253-nucleotide ribosomal RNA is filed under the name uncultured bacterium. Its description in RNAcentral is "partial 16S ribosomal RNA". It matches the Rfam family "Bacterial small subunit ribosomal RNA", at positions 524 to 776 of the family's 1533-position model. The record is from RNAcentral.
UACGUAGGGGGCAAGCGUUGUCCGGAUUUCUUGGGCGUAAAGCGCUCGCAGGUGGUUCGUUGCGUCGUGCGUGAAAGACCCCGGCUCAACUGGGGAGGGUCGUGCGAUACGGGCGAACUGGAGGCCAGUAGGGGGAUGCGGAAUUCCGGGUGUAGUGGUGGAAUGCGUAGAGAUCCGGAGGAACACCAGCGGCGAAGGCGGCAUCCUGGACUGGUCCUGACACUCAUGAGCGAAAGCGUGGGGAGCGAUCCGG